This 207-nucleotide ribosomal RNA is filed under the name uncultured bacterium. RNAcentral describes it as "partial 16S ribosomal RNA". It matches the Rfam family "Bacterial small subunit ribosomal RNA", at positions 568 to 774 of the family's 1533-position model. The record is from RNAcentral.
CUCGUAGGCGGCUUCUUAAGUCGGGGGUGAAAACCUGUGGCUCAACCACAGGCCUGCCCCCGAAACUGAAAAGCUUGAGUCCGUGAGGGGAGAGGGGAAUUCCUGGUGUAUCGGUGAAAUGAGUUGAUAUCAGGAGGAACACCCGUGGCGAAGGCGCCUCUCUGGCACGGUACUGACGCUGAGGAGCGAAAGCGUGGGGAGCAAACA